CCCGUUUUUAAGCUUUUAAAAAUUCGGAAUUCAAUAGAGAUUUUUGUUUGGAAAACAGACUUCACAAUUAAUCUCAGAUUAUUAUUUUAAGGCUAUGAUGAAUUUUGAGUAUUUUUCUGAGAAAGAAACCCGAACUACGCGGACGAAACAUUACUCGUUUUCGCGUCCGCGUGGGGGUUUUCCUUGCCAACGGUCCAUUGUGGUGAGCUUCUGGAAAUGGGCUAGGCUCCCACUCCAUUUAUUUCUCCUUCACCUGCCUCCCUCCCCAGCCACACACCUGUCUCUCUCUCUUUUCUAUAAAAUACCUCAUUUUUCUCCUUUCUUUUCCCAGACAACUCUAUCCCUCUCUCUCUCUCUCUCCUUCUUCUUCUUUCUUUUAUUUGGCCAGGAGGAAUUCCCUCCACCCCACUGCCAAAAAUCCACACCAUCCACUACCGCCGAUAAAGAUUACACGCAAUACUUUUUGGUUCACGCAUUAGAGGGCAAGUUCGUGAUGAUCGGAUAAAAAGAAUUGAAAGAGUUGUACUGUUUUUAUUUGAAGAUGUAUAAGAGAAUUUUUAGACCGUAUACGAAAUAAUUGUAUUAUUUAGAGAUUUU
Rhododendron vialii is the source of this 597-nucleotide long non-coding RNA. RefSeq lists it as uncharacterized. The record is from RefSeq and is a predicted model, not a curated record. NCBI's taxonomy places the organism in Eukaryota, Viridiplantae, Streptophyta, Magnoliopsida, Ericales, Ericaceae. The transcript is spliced from 2 exons.